This is a non-coding RNA of Monodelphis domestica (gray short-tailed opossum), 678 nucleotides long. NCBI's taxonomy places the organism in Eukaryota, Metazoa, Chordata, Mammalia, Didelphimorphia, Didelphidae. The record is from RefSeq and is a predicted model, not a curated record.
AGGCUGCUUCCACAGAUCCAGAGGCAAUAGACAUUCUGAUCAAUGGAGAAUAGACCCAGAGCAGCCAACUCAGACUCUGAGAGAUGAAAACCAUCACAAAACUAGAAAUUGUGGGAGUUUGGGGUCUCCUGUCUCUAAUUCCAGCUCUCUUCUGCUAUGGCAUUUAAGCACUCGGUGACAAUGUGAGGAAGUGCCACUGGCUUCUCUUAAGGAUAAAGGCCUAGACGAAAGCCCCUGUGGGGGAGACACAUGCUGCUGAUGCUUUUCAGUGCCUUAAGAACAAGACCCAGGCCCAGGAAAAACUUUCCUGGCUUAGAAACUUUUCAAAAAGCAACAAAACCACCAUGAAGAGAGUGGCUGUUUGCUCUUCUCCUUUCCCCUCCACUGAUAGGGCGCUGGAUUUUCCAAAGAUAUUGGGUCAGAAUGAGAACAAGCUGGAGUCUCUCCAGCUCUUAGAAAGACCUGGAAUUUUCCAAGCAUCAGAUUUCAGUUCCCUAAAAGUUGAAGCAGCAUGUUUCCUACAAGACCACCAAGACUGUGGCCAAAGAUGACUCUGUGCAUAAACGAGAUGGCUAUCCACAGUCCUGAAAAGUCCUCCCCACAUUACCAGAUCUCUGCCCAACAUGGUACCUGGAAUUUACCAUUAAAGUCUCUUAUUGGUUUUUUGGGGUCAAAGAA